Cydia splendana is the source of this 407-nucleotide long non-coding RNA. RefSeq lists it as uncharacterized. Lineage: Eukaryota; Metazoa; Arthropoda; Insecta; Lepidoptera; Tortricidae. The record is from RefSeq and is a predicted model, not a curated record. The transcript is spliced from 3 exons.
AGGUAACCUGAUUUUCAAAACAAACAUUUCUGAAUAUCGUGACUCGUGUCUUGAUUUUUAGUUUUACGGCCAACUCGGCGGCGUAGAUAAUGGCCGCAUCUGAAAAACUUUGCUGCGUUCGGGGAUGCAGCAACUCUCGGCUCUCCAAACCCCAACCCGCGACGCGUUCCAAUGACAAAGCAUCCGGCAGCGGGAGCCCUGCUCCAGGGGUUCAGGCCUAACAGCAGAGCAACCAGAUACACCUCACCUGACUCCAAUGACCUGGAACCGGAUGAGAACCAAUUUAACGGUCAAGGUGGCGCACCGCAGUCCAGCAUAUCUAGAGUCUUCAAAAGGCGAGUGGGCGGACAGGAGGACGCCGACACCGACCGGUCGGGACGCAGUACGGCAGUACGGCGAAAUCAGCA